Molecule: long non-coding RNA, 366 nt
Filed under: Sorghum bicolor (sorghum)
Lineage: Eukaryota; Viridiplantae; Streptophyta; Magnoliopsida; Poales; Poaceae
Description: long non-coding RNA (SBIC_LNC013386)
Source: RNAcentral
UUGAGCCUAGUUACUUCGUGAUUGGACAAUGUUUGUCAAAUAAAAACGAAAGUGCUAUAGUAGUCAAAAAUCAAAGUUUUUCGAACUAAACAAGGCCUAGUUGAAAAUAAUGUUUUUUAAUUUAUUAUGAGGUGAAAACACUAUUAAAUAGCUAAGAAAAACUCUUUGUCCUGCUACAAUAAUAUAAUUUAUCGUACUGUACUAGCAUGCAUGCUACAAUAAUAUAAUCCAUGGUACUGUACCAUAUAUAUAUAGUUGCUGAAAAGCUUGAGCCACACGAGUGCGGUGCCCGUGCCACCAAAUGGGGUUAUAAACUAGCCACGGCGCCUGCACAUCGAGCCACUAGUUUGAUCACCUAACCCCCUC